UCAGCUCCGGAUGCCUUCCAGCCUCUCUGUGAUGUGACACGUCCCUCUUUGACUCAGCCUGAAACUGCUGAGGCCAGCUUGGAAUUUCCUCCUGCGGGGUUAGCUCUAUAAAAAGAAAAGUUGCACCAAACAGCUGGAGAGGGCGAGAGAGAGGAGACAGCAGCGCUUCAGCCUGAGAGCUUUGUUGCUUCCCGCCAGGGUAACACAAUGGUUCCUCGUUUUCCUUCUUAUCAAUGCCUUGACGAUCUUUUCUACCGUUCUGUUCCACCAAUCACUAGGGGGUGCACUAUCCUAAUGAAAAGCAUGAACCUCGGAUAUUUCAUUCUGGGGAUCUGCUUCCAUGGGUAGAGCCCACCUUACAGCUGUGAGACUUAAGACCCCUGGGAAACAAACAAAGGAUCCACUGACCCAUCUCCCUUCUCCUGCUCUCGCUGCUCCUCCCUGUGUAUGUGUUUCUGACAUUGGACUGGGGAGAAAGAAGAGGUUAGACUAUCCUUGCCCCUAGCAGAGUGCUUGGGCAGUGGGUAGGCCAGUUCCAAGAGGCAUUAGCUUUGCCCCAUCAAUCCCUGCAGUCAGAGCAAGAGACUGCACCUUACAACCAGCAGCGACUCCAGACUUCUACACAUUCUGUAAGAAACGGGAACUGCGAGGGGCUCGCUCAGAGGCUCCCUCCUGUGACCAAAUCCAGCAGUUCCGCUCGCUCUUCCACUGCAGAAAUGCCUCAACUUUAACAGCAAAGAGAACUCGGGGGGGGGGGGGUCCUUUCUGGAGCAUGGUUUUCUCCAUUCUACGUUUCAGUGUGCUCCAGAUCCUGGGAGGAGUUCAAGGAUGGCCCUAGCAGGGCUCUUUAGAAAGUGUUAUGAAUGCAUACAGCUCUGCCAUAGCACACGCCCGGCAAGCAGCAGGGAGAAGGGAAGGUCAGUGGUGCAGGAUCAUCGUCAUCGGCCGUCUAUCUGAUCUCCAGCUGGAGUGGGACAUUGUGCACGGAGCGGAAGAGGAGCUUCGGCCCGCUGCCCCUCUGCUCAGUGUUUCAUGGUUGGGAGGCGCCAAAUAACUCCCGUAAAACCACCGUCCCGGGCACGCUCUGUCUCGUGCUUCCGACGGGAUGGAUCUUUUGGCAUUUCUGUACCGUAUCUAAUGAGCUUCCUUUCCAGGCAGAAAUAAACGGUUGUGAGAUCGAAGAGAGUUUCAUGUCACUUCAAAACACCCAAGGGAGGGCUGGGAACAGAAACAGUCCUCUGACUCCAUCCCUUCCAUUCAGCUGCAGGGAACGGGGCCCUAAUCCUCACACGUAGCUCAGCUCAGAACCCCCACUGAGUUCAAUGGAGGUUAGGAGUCUAAAUACCUGGGAGGCUCGGCCCCCGUUUGCUGUUCACGAGGACAUCCUCGGAGCGCCGAGGAAGGGCAGAUGGAGGCAGAACUUGGCUGGCUCUUCCUAAAGCCCUUUCUCCUGAUUCAGAUCCUCACUCUUUGGACAGCAGCAGGUCCAGGGCAGCAUCAUAUCACCCAGGAAAUCUAGUCCCACCUUCCUUCCGAGUGACGCAGCUACGCUGGGGUUUUCUUUGCCAGGGAAUUGAAGCAUAGGUGGCCUACAACAGCCUCAGGCCCUUAUGGGGCAGAACCUUUUAAAUAUUUAAACAUGAAUCAUUUGUAUUUCUCUAGCCCCGCCCACCACAGGAUCUCAAAGCACUUUGCAGCCCCCUGGAAGGUAGGGAAGUCUCAUCAUGAGACAUACACAGAUUAGAGAGUCCUGCAGACGCCAUAUCAAAGGAGUGGCAGUCAGGAGUAGAACCUAGUCGUCUGGAUGCCCCCUCCUUUGGUCUACCCUCCAUCCUUCCUCCCCCCACUGUUCUG
Long non-coding RNA from Terrapene triunguis (Three-toed box turtle), 1854 nucleotides. RefSeq lists it as uncharacterized. The transcript is spliced from 3 exons. Lineage: Eukaryota; Metazoa; Chordata; Testudines; Emydidae. The record is from RefSeq and is a predicted model, not a curated record.